UUGCAAAAUUUCCCAUUAGAAUUACCAAUCGCAAACUCUUAGAUGCUGGGAAAUAUUGAGCUUUUAUUUUACGCAAUGUAGUGAAAGGAAUAGAAAUUGUAUUUAACUGUAUUUUCAACUCUGUAGCCAAAGAGAAACCCAUGGGGGCUCAGCAUUUGACCCACUUACUUUUUGGUUUUGUAAUGUAUAUAAUUCUUCAGAUUCCCUCCCCCAUCAAUCAAAUAAAUAAAGUGCAAAGUUCUAUUCAGAAAAUGACUAUAAAAGUAGCAUCAUUUUACUCGGCAGAAUCUCCCCCUCCCCCCGCCCCAAAAGCCCUAUCUGCUUAAUUCAGUGAAAAAAGUAAUUGGUGGGGGGUGGCCUUUGUGUGAGUUUUUUCUCCUUGUAUUGUUUUUUGUUUUUUACUCUUAUUAGUCCUGCAGAACCAACACAACUUUGUGGGAGUGAGCUUUUACCCACGUGUGCACACUUACUCCAGAAUGAGUCCUUAUUCUGAAUUAGCUUAAUCCACUUCGGAAAUUUAUUAAGUUAAUUUGAAAUAUUAACAAACAAACAAUAAGGAAUAUAGUUCAUCCACUUCACAUUCACCCCCUGCUUUAUUCUGGAUUAAUUUUCAUGUGCGGACAAGCCCUAAAAAAACCCUGAAGCCCUGUAAGUUUGAUUUCUGCUUUGCAGAAGGAGGCAGUCAUGGGUGAAAGACCAUACUAAUCACUAGCCAGAAAGUAAGCUUGAAGCACUAUAUCUCAUGGUCCUGCCCUCAUCUUGUGAAACUUUGGCAGUGGUUCCCACUGUUGUAUUGGAGCUGGAGGCAAAUUUCUUUAAAAAAGAAAGUAUGGUGGUAAAUAUUCCGUAAGUUUUAAAAAUAAAACAAUAACGGGGUUGUUUGAAUCCAGAGGAGUUUCAUGUAUUUGAAUGUUUGGUCAAAGGGAAAGCAAUUAAAAUCAAGCUUUGAGAAUAACCAAGAUGAAUUAAUUUAAUGUUUGUAAAGCACUUUGAAGAUGUAAAGUACUCUGCAAAUGUUUAUAAAACAAAACCUUGUUAGUUUGCAGUAAUUAUUGGAGAGAAUAUUGCAAUUUACUGAAUUUUGAGAACUUAAGAGAACAAGCACAAUAAAAAUAAACAAAGCUAGGUACCAUGAAAUGUGCUUUAUUGAUUUAUUUUAACAACUGUAUUUUAGUUUAUUAUAAUAUUUCAUAAUGUCUUAGCCAAUGUUCUAAUGGAGUAAAGUACAUUUCUGUCGAGUUUUUUGUGUAAACAUAUUUUAAGUCUUUGGCUUUUGCAACCCAUUUCAGCUAUCUGUUGCUAAAUCUUUGCUGAGAAAUGGAGGUAGUAAUUUUACCAUAAAAUAUGGAUAAGUGAGGUUCUGCUGAAUUCACACAAGAAUGAAUAUGCCUUUUAUAAAUCUAAAAGAAUUUACAAGCUAGUCACAGAAAUUUGUGAUGGGGGAACUUUCUACAAAGAAAGUAUGCUUAGACAUAAGAAUAGCUUUUUGGUAGACUAUCAUAUACAUAGUACAGGUUCAAUUACUGUGGUGUAUCAGGCAUUUGGAGGACAAAGAUGAAAAUAUUAAGGAAAAUGCCAAACAAGGAGGAGACCUAUUCUGUGACGAAUACAUAUAAGAUAUAGGAGAAGAUCCUUUUUCUAGUGUGGAAGUGAGGACAUAUUUGGAGUUCUUUGGUUAUGAUUGUCAGUCUAACCCCCAAAACAGGGUAGACACAGAAGCAUGGUCUAUCCACCUCCCGUCCUACAAUAUAUUUUAAAUGUAAAAUUGUAUUGGGAACUUGUAAAGUGAUUAUACAAUUCAACCCAAACAACAUACAGAGAAAUGAAAUACAAAAGAAUCUCUAAAAGAAAAGGAGAACUUAAUCUCUAACUUAGAUAUUGCCAAAGGGCCAGACCAAUAAGUAAAACAAUGAAACCUGUAAGUUAAUGCUGUCAUAGCAGUCUUCACUUAUCCUUUUCUGCCUUGGUAGGAUUUUAUCAAGGCCUCUCAUAAUAAUCAUGAAAAAAGUCGUCAUCCAAUUUGGAAAGGU
Dermochelys coriacea (leatherback sea turtle) is the source of this 2030-nucleotide long non-coding RNA. RefSeq lists it as uncharacterized. The record is from RefSeq and is a predicted model, not a curated record. NCBI's taxonomy places the organism in Eukaryota, Metazoa, Chordata, Testudines, Dermochelyidae. The transcript is spliced from 3 exons.